RNAcentral lists this long non-coding RNA (10377 nucleotides) under Medicago truncatula (barrel medic). RNAcentral's name for it is "long non-coding RNA (MTRU_LNC000957)". Lineage: Eukaryota; Viridiplantae; Streptophyta; Magnoliopsida; Fabales; Fabaceae. The record is from RNAcentral.
AUUUAACAACUUAAACUUCAUCAAUUAAUAACAUUAACUCUUCUUAUAAUACUUCGUUAAUAACUCAAUCAAUUUCUAAUCAUCAUUAACUUCAUAUUCAUCACAUUAUAUACAACAUCAUAUAGCACAUAAUAAUCAGAUCAUAAACAUCAUCAUAUAACGACAUAAUCAUCACAUCAUAAACAUCAUCUUAUAACAAGAUAAACGAUACAUCAUAAACAUCAUCUUAUAACAGCAUAAACAACACAUCAUAAACAUCAUCUCAUAACGACAUAAACAACAACGAUUAAUAAAUAUUAAUACUUCACUUAGUUCUUUAUUAACAACUCAUUGACAAAUGACAACUUAACGACAACGACAAUGCGACUUCUACAUCUUAAACUCAACAUAUGCAACUUCAACUUCUUAAUCAUGCAUGUGGUACCAACCAGAGCAUCAAGCCCUCAACAUAAAGAGCAUAAAUACACUCACAGGGCAUCAAGCCCUCAACAUAAGAGCAAAAGCUCACAGAGCAUCAAGCCCUCAACUUCAAAUGAUUAUGCAUGGACUCAAAAACGUACAACUUAGACAAAUUCACAACUUAUAUGAUCCAAUAUCUUGGAAUAACAACUUACAACUUUACAACUUAGACCAACACUUGCAACUUAAUGACAAUAAUGGUUCAACAACAACAGAAACAGCAACAUAAACAUCUUGCAACAUAGCAACAUCAAUAAUAACAAUUUGAAUGAUAUAAACAAUAAUAAUUUCUAUAUCAUACAUUUUCAACACCUUAUAUAAAUAUCUUAAAUUAACCAACAAUCAUUAAUCAUUUGAUUCAGGCUCUCUUUAACUCUAUAACUUAAUAACAACUUCCAUUCUUAUCCAAAGAUCAACUCAAAACAUAGGUUAAAUACUCUUAAACAUCUUAAUUGAACUCAUAGUACUUCUAGUUUUGAGGUUUUGAAUUAUCCCAUAAGUUUUGGAUUAACUUAGAAAUGGUUAUGCUGAAUUUUCAUAAGAUUUCACUAAGACCUCUCUGGAGUAUUUUUUAUCAUAUCUCAAAAACCAAAAAUCAUUUUCAAAUCAAACCAAAGCCAUUGAAAAGCUAAUAAAAUUAUCUAAAACUUUCAUGUUUACAACUAGACACAGUUCAAAGCGGAAAGGGGUGAAAAAUAGUAAAAUAAGAAGGAUCUGAUUCACAAAAAUCGUGCCACGUUUUUAUGCCCAGAACCAUUGAACUUUCGGCCAACAAAAUUGUGCCACGCUUGCAAAAUCGUGACACGUUUUGACAGCAUCAGGUCCAGAAAUCUGCUUUUCAAAAAGUGCAAUUUUCACCAUUUCGCGCGUAAAAUUCAAACCGUUAAUCGGAUUUUGAUGCCGUUUUCGCCUACACGCUCCUGAAACUUGGCUCUAUCAUAAUCUACAGCUAUUUCAAGUCUCAACCAUCCCAAGAAUCAUUUUCCAAAACCUCACAUAAUCCCUUAUUUGCAAAAACGUUUAGACACCGACUUUUCAAGCGAAAAUCUCAAUUUUCAUCAACUCAACCCCAAAACUGGUUCUAAUCAUUGUACUGUGAAUAAUCUAAGGUCUGAACAUCGUUUCUUCAUUAAUUCAACAGGUUUCUAUCAUCUAAUCAACCAAUUACAACUUUUAACCCUAAUUUCCCAAAUUCCCAAAACUACAACCUACAACAUGUUAAAUCCAAUUUUCAGAAUUAUACAACUUAUAAUUAAAGAAUGUUAUCAUUCUAGGUUCUUCUCUUCUAUUGUUUUCUCCCUUUUUCUCCAAAAACUUGUUUUACGCGAUCCUUAUUUUCUAAUUCUAACUCUCCCCUUUUAUAUAAAUCCUUAACCUACUUAUUUUCUCUUAUUUCCAAAUCUACCCCCAAAGUCUCAAUAUUCUAUUCUAAUAUAUAUGUAUAAUAAAAUACUUCUAUAACAAAUAACAAAUAUAUCUCUAUAACAAAUAUAUUUAUGUACCAGAUAACAUAUAUAUUUCUUCACCAAAUUAGAUAUAUAUUUCUACACCAAAUAACAUAUAUAUUAUACUAAUAAAUACCAACAUAUAACAUAACAAAAUAUCACUCAUCAAAAUAAAUCGACUAAAUUAUAAAAAGACAUCUAAAUUCAAUAAAAUAAAUAAAUAUUAAAAUAGGGCGUUACAAACGUGCUUUCUAUCAUCGAUGAACCAGAGCAAAAUUACCAUUAGAUUCAAUCAAUGGUCAUGAUUUAUACAAAAUAAAAAUAAGAACAUUUAAGAAUUGCCUCGCACAAUCUUGCCCCUAUUAAACUUUUUUAUUUUUGGUAUUCAUCAUCUUCAACCUCCAUUCCAAUUUUUUCGUAAUAAAAAAAAAAAAAAAAACUCCAUUUCAAUUUAGGAGCAAUGCUACAAAAGAGAAUUUGCACAAAAAAUUGAGUGUGUCUUCAAAAGUUUACGGGGUUUGCUAAAAAUCUAGUUUAUGGGUUCAAUUGGAGGUGGUGACUAAUGAAAUUGGAGGUUUAACUCAUCCUUAAAAACCAGUUCAUAAGGUGAGUCACGCCCAGCACUCUUUGGGCUUACGUGAAUCGGUAGGUAUUUGGGCUUACGUGAAUCGAUAGGUAACUCUUGAAUUCGACAGGUUCUGAUACCAUAAUGAAAUUGGAGGCCUAACUCAUCCUUAAAAACUAAUUCAUAAGGUGAGAAUUGUCUCCUCUAUAUUAACUCUUAUCAAGAGUCUUAUCUUUUCGAUGUGGAACAUGAGUUUUUUUCAAUAAUGACCUUUAAAGUUUAAACACGCGGCAUCUUUGAAUUCUACAUAGAAAAAAAAAAUAGAAUUAUAGCGUGUUAUGUUUGUUUCUCUAGAGCAUGAGACAUUUCAUUGUUCAGUUUAUGUUGUCAUGGAAAGGCAUAUGAGUGAUGGGUGUACAUCAUCGAUCGGUGGUUUGAUUCUCGUGAAUAGAACAAAAAAAAUCUGAGCUCAAUGGUACAAAUCCUUACGAUGAAAGGUGAGAUAUAGUAGGAUUGUGUGUGGAUAGUUGUAAAUGUUAUCUUUUUUAAUUCUAGUAGAUCAAAAUUGUUAAUCUCAUUUCAUGGUAAAAAUUAAAUAGUCCAUUUGUGAGGGACUCAAUAGCUCCUUCACCUUAGACGUCACCCUUAAUUAAUAAGAAACUAACGGCGAGGGACUCAACUCCCUCACCUUAGACGUCACCAUUGAUUAAUAAGAAACUAACGAUUGAAGUAAAUAAACGAGAAAGAAACUCAAACUUCUUUCUAAACUUUCUUUCUCUUUCGUUCAUCAAGGAGGGGUGGUUUUUGACCUAGAAUCACCCCUCUACAUCUUUUUUCCCAUUUUCUUUCAAUCUAAAUAAGUGGUUUUCACAUACAAGUGUUUCCUUUUGUGUUUUUUGUGAUUUUGUCGUCUAAGUACAACGCUGUGUUGGUCGUCGUCUUGUGCGGCGUUUGAUUUCACGUCUUGUCGCGGCGUUCGUUUAGUUUCUAUUGAAAGAUUGACAUCGGUCAAUUAUAAAUCCAAUCAAUGAUUUGGGUGUGAAUGUUGCCGAUCUAGAAACAUGAGUAUUUCGGUGACUUAGAUUUAAUCAUAUUAGUUGUAGCAUUUUGUCAUUUUAUGUUAUUAACUUGGGUGCUGUGAGUUUGUUCGCAGUUUUACCCUUUACGUUUCUAGCGAUUUUUGUAUCUGAUGUACUCUAUCAAUCUGAAUGAAUGAAUAUCGUUUUGUUUUUAUUAAAAAAAAAAAAUAAAAAAAAAACUAACGGUUAAAAGUUUGCUCUACAUGCCUACAAUGAUAAUAAAUAGAGAUAAUUUACUACAACUUUUAAAACAAUGAUGCUCAUUUAUAGGAACUUUACCAUAAAUAAGUCUCCAAAGAAAAAAUGAUUUGGAUUGAGGAAUUGAAGGUUUCCAAAUAAGCUAUGUCCAUGAUUGAUCAUAUGCAGAAACUUGACAAAAACUAUCAGCAUCCUAAACUGAAAGAGAACCUGAUGAAGAACCCUUCUAAGCAAGAUAUUCAGUGGAAAACUAUACCCCGAUAUUUAUCAAAUUUCAUAUUUCACCAAUUCAACUCUCUCUAUCAAUAGUAUAUAUAUAAAGUAAGAUUUUUUAUGACACGUGUCACUUCCACGUUUAUUCGCAAUAUUUUUAUUUUUUUUCUAAUUUUUCAAAACCAAUAUUUAAUUUGGCAUAAAUAUCUCAACAAACUUUUGAUCUUAUCUAUUAAAUAUUUUACUUAACUAUUUAUUGAAUUCCUAAUAUUUUAUGUAAUAGAAAUAUCUCAACAAAAUUACAUACGAUACCCUUCAAUUAAAAAUCAUCAAUCAAUCAAUAGUAUAUAUAGUAAGGUUUCUUAUGCCACGUGUCACUUUCAUGUUUAUUCGCAAUAUUUUUAUUAUUUUUAUAUUUUUUAAAAUCAAUAUUUAAUUUUGUAAAAAAAAAAUCAAUAUUUAAUUUGGCAUAAAUAUUUCAACAAAAUUUUAACCUUAGGGAUGGCAAUGGGUACCCUAUCCCAAUGGAUAGGGUACUAUAGUACCCUAUCCAUUGGGUACUCAUUGCCAUAAAUGUAUUGGUCUAUUCUCCACUAUCAUAAAUAUAAAGUGAAAUAUAUUGAAUUGGAAAUGAUGAAAGUAGUAUUAAUUAGAGUUAUAAUUGAAAAAAAAAGUAAUUAAUAAUUGUAUUGAAAAGUUAAAUGCAUCAAGAUUUUUGAGACAAUAUUUUUUACAAAUAACUUAGUUAUUAUGGGACGGAGGGAGUAACACUUUAACAUGACAAUGAAAAGUAAAUUUAAGAAUUAAAAUGCAAGAAAUGAAGAGAAUGUUUCUCUAACACAAAACUAUUUUUUUUUUCUCUUUCACUUAUACACUUUUUUAAUGUGUAAAAUAAAAAAUAAAAAAAACUUAUGUAUAAUGAGACGGAGGGAGUAGUUAGUAAGAACAAAGUCGUCAAGGAACCAAUUAACUCUUGAUUUCACUUCCCAAAAACGUCUUGAUAGUGCUAUACUCCCUCCGUCCCAAAUUAUAAGCAAAAAAACAAAAAUCACACUUAUUAAGAAAACUAAAACAUAAAAAUUUGGAGUAUAGUUUUUUGUGUUUUCGUUGGAAAAAGUUUUAUAGGAAGAUGUAAAAACAAUUUUCAUUGGCUAUUGAUUAUGGAAAAAAUGAAAGAAAGAGAAAAUUGAAUGUAAUUUGCAUUUAAUUUUAUGAGAAUAACAAAAAAAAAUCUUGGAAAAGAUUAAAAUUUGUCUUUUUUCCUUAUAUUUUGGGACAAAGAAAAUGAAUUUCUUUUGCUUAUAUUAUGGAACGGAGGGAGUACUUGGUUAAGCUGGAUUGAGCAUUCAAUUCUAAUUUAAGGGCCUUUAAUUUACCUUAAAGAAUAAACAUAGGACAACCAACCACAUAAUUAUUUAUACCAAACAUUUUCCACCACGUGGGUGAUAUCUGGAAGAUGAGAGUCCAUUUAAGUGAGUCAAUGUGACGAAAAAAAAGAUAAAAUGGCAAUUUUAGGAUCGUAAAUUUCUGAAAAUAAUGGAAGUAGUAAUUCUUUUAACGUUUUCAUUGUUUUAAAAAAAUUAUCCAAUCAUAUUUUAUAUGCAAUUUUUGUUUUUUAGAUUAAUUAAACAAUAAAUUUUGUUAACCAGUGUCCUAAGGGUGAUGAUUAAGGAAUUCAAAUGUAAAAGUUUUGUCUUGUAAUUGUAGGAUGUUACAUUUGAUCAAGUAAUGAUUAUACUACUUUUUAUUAAAAACUUACUUGAUUUAGUUGUUUAACCAGUGUGAACACUAGUUAACAUUCUCCUUAAAUAAUUGAUGUUUCUGAAAUAUAAUAUAUAUAUAUAUAUAUAUAUAGCUCAGAUACAUCACUUAUUUAAUGAAGAGUUUUUUUUUUUUCCUUCUCUUAAUUAACGAAUAAAACUAACACUUAUAUAUCUACCAAAAAAAAAAAAAAACUAACACUUAUAUAAUAUAGUUCGGAUACAAUAUAUUUAUAUAAUAUAAUCCGGAUACAUCACUUAUAUAAUCAACAUUGCUAUUUACCGCGACAAGUUUUGUCCCGAAUGCAUCAAGAAUGAAAAUAAGCCAAUUAAAAACAGCUGUUAGUGGAAAUCAUGGGAGGUGGGGGAGAAAAAGAUGGAAAUCAUAAACUAAUGGAUGGAUGGCAUACAUGCCACAUGUGUCUGGAAAAUCUCGGGACAGUUUUAUUUCGUGUGAAAUAGCAUUUUUCCUUAUAUAAUAUAGUCCAGGUACAAGGCAACUAUCACCGGAUGAGGUUUUAUCUUUUUAUUAAUGAAUAAAACUUUUUUUAAGAAGCUAAAUGCAAAAUAUAUUAAAAACCAAAUUAGUUAAGCACAAGAUGUGCCAAACGAAAAACUGUGUAUAACGUCAAAGUAACAAACUCGAUAAAGAAAGAAACCACAAAUAAUAAAAAUCAAAAGCGAAAUUCAGUUUAUGUGUCUUUAGCCACCACAAAAAAUGAAAUUUAAUAUUGUCGAGAAGUUGAUCCUUAGAAGACACGUUGUUAUUGAAAUUUCUCGAGUUUCUCUCCUUCCAAAUUCUCUCCUUCGAAAUAACUCAAAGACAUGUCAGCACACCACUUUAAAACAAGAGCUAAUGUCCUUCCUGAAAGCAUGCGCGCCAAAAAAUUGUUGUGCGUGACAACCAAUAUUUGAUGGAACGACGGUAGUUUUACCCUACCAGAUCAACAAACACCCUACCAGAUCAACAAACAGGGAAAAUAAAUAAAAAAUAUUUUUGCAAAGUAAUUAAACGGAUUCUAAUGUUUAAUAGGAACCGAUCGAGGACAACAUAGAAAUCAUGCUGGAAUUUGAAGAAGAAAUACAAACCUAAUUAAAGAGAGGGGCUAAGUAUUUCCAAGCUGGAACUUGAAAAAGAAAAACCAUGCUCUAAUUAAGUAACUAAGUAAGGUAGUACAUUACAACAAUUGAGAUAAGUACGACACAUUAUGAUGAUUAUGACUUAUGAGCUGUUAAAUGAUGUUGUAGGAUUACUUUUUUCUUGUCAAAAAUAAAUAAAUGAUGUUGUAGGAGAAACAUUAUUAUAAACAUUAUUAUAACUUACAAGGACUAAUGUUUAAAAAAAAAAACUUACAAGGACUAAUAAUGAGACAGAACGAAAGUGUACGUGAGUGUAGGAGACACGUUAUUAUAACAUUUUAUAAAUAUUUAAACGUUGAUAAUAAUUUUGUCGAUCUAUAAACCACUACCAAUUCCUAGUUAAAUAUAUAAUAAUUUUUAUUAUAUUUGUUAGUUGAUGGUAAAAGAUGAAUAUAAUUUGUUACUAUAUUUUUUUUUGACAAAAUAAUUUGUUGCUAUUUAAAAUUCAUAAAUAUAGUCUAUACAUAUAAUUUUAAUAAAAAUAAAAAUUCACCCAAAAAAAAAUCAAAAAUUUCAUAAAAAAAUAAAUAUUGUUUAUAAUUCACGAGCGUUGUCGCAGUACAAAAAUGGAUAGAUGGAUACCCAGUACUAGUAAUUAAUGAAGUUAAUUGGUAAAAUUUCACUCUUACUGGUGGUUGAUGGUAGGGGUGUUUACGGUGCGGUUUGGUUCGGUUUUGAGAGAAAAAGUCAUCCAAACCGCAAGAUAAAAAAACAUGCGGUUUGUGUAACACCCACAGCUGACGAGGGCAGGGGAGUGGUCACCGGUGCACAAGGCACGCCAAUGAGCGGCUCCCGACAGCUUCUAGAGGAACCGAAUCACAUCUGAAUGAGAGGGAUCCUGAGGCCGUGUAGGUGUGGGACUACAUGAAUGAAGGAAUGCUUAUAAGAAUUGUUUGGUAAUACCUAUAUCAACAAGGUGCAUCUUCUUUUUGGUACCCUAUUCCAUAAGAACUCCACAGUUAAGCGUGCUUGACUUGGAGUAGUCUUUGGAUGGGUGACCUACCGGGAUUCCCGAUAAGCAUGCGAGUGAGGACAAAACACGCUGAAAAGACUCGUGUUGGUUUGUAGGGUCAGUCGACAAUGCUUAAAGUCGUCUGGGAUGUUACAGUUUGGUUUGGUUCGGUUGGCUUUAAAAUAAAAUCCGAACCAAACCAAACCAAUAUGGUUUGGGUUGUAUCGGUUGGUGCGGUUUUUUUCGUGACGAUACGAUUUUUUGUUUCCAACAUUAAAAUCAAGAUAAAAAGCUGAAACACAAUAUAUUUUCAACAAUGUUUUAAAUUUCAUCAAACAUUACAAUUUCAUUUUCAUUACAAUGUUUCCAACAACAUAAACCAAAUUAAAAACGCGGACAAAAAGUAAUCUUAUUUUGUAAGAAAUGCAAAAGACUGAGAUGUUCUCAUUCUCUAAAAGUUAAGUAGCACAUAAAUACAUUUUUAAAUAAAAAGCAAAUAAUGAACUUAACAAGAGAAAAAAAAUAUGACAUUUUAUAAAAGUUUUCAUUGAGUUUCUAUGAGUAUUGGUCUUGAUGACAUAUGUUUAAUUAACAUUUUUCUUAUGUUAUGGUUUGGUUUGGUUUUGUAUCUAUUUGACAGUCUCUUUGUACUUUGAGCGACCUCUUUAGUACGCCUUAUGCUAAAGAGGUGUCUCUCUUAUUGUGAAUAUAUAUCAUUUUACCUUCUUAAAAAAAAGUUAAUUGGUAAAAAAAAAAAAAAUUUCUCUCUUGAUUUAUAUGAAAUGACAUUUUUUUUUGGAACAUGGAGGGUAUUGAUUUUUACACCUUUUCAAAAGCCACUCAAGGAUGAAUAUAGAUUUUUCAUGCAUCAAACACAAGAAUCAUUAGCAUAACAUGCUUUGGAAAACACACACAUAUACUUAAAUUAAUGGUUGGAGUAUCAAAUUUAAAAAUAUUGUUGUCAAUACAUACCCCGUCAAUCCUCCUUUUUUACCCAAUAAACAUUGAAAUGUUGCUUCUUUCGUUAAGCAUAAAAACAUCAAAGUCUAGCAAAAUGUUGUUUUUGCGAUGACACAUUUCAUAUAGUUUAAAGGAUGCAUGAUUCGAUUACAAAAACAAAAUACUAAUAAUUCUAGCACAAAGUUUAAAGCUAAGAUUAUAAAGCUUCAUAGCAUGUGGAUAUUCAUUUAGAAAUAUAGGAUUAGGAUUGCCCCUUUCAUCACGGGUCUAAUAGCACCACUUGUCACUACAUGUUAAAAAUGUCCUCUAGUACAACACCGCUUUUUACUUGAUUCCCCUUGUCCAUGAAAAAAUCAAACAAUAUUUGGACACAAAAAUUUGCCCCCACUUUCCUUUUUCUUCUGCCCUAGUUUGUUUGAAAACUCAUAUUGAUCAAAUUUGGCUAUGAAUUCAAACAAAAAAUUCACUCUGCCCAUUGCAUGUGUGGGACCCACAUAUAAAUCCAUGAAGGAUUUCAAUGUCCAUCCAAGUCAAUGAUUCAACAUAUAACAUUGAAUAAUUUAAUUCCAAUUUGCAGUAUUAUGAUUUAGAUUGAUUGCUGCAAUACGGUCCGUGAAUGUAACUCACGAGAAAGAGGUAUCAAGGUAUUUUAUUUUAUUUUUAACAAAUAAAAUUUCAAGGUCUUGUUCACCAUAUAAACCUCCUCACUCUCACUCAAUUCUCUUAAGUGUAUGACUUCAUAGUAAACUACACUACUUUCUUUAAAACAUGGCUAACUAUGCUAUAGCCAAUGUUUUGAUCCUUCUCUUGAACUUGAGUACCUUACUCAAUGUUCUUGCUUGCCCUUAUUGUCCUUACCCAAGCCCUAAACCACCUUCACACCACCCUCCUAUUGUUAAGCCACCAGUUCACAAACCACCAAAGCAUUCUCCUACUCCUAAACCACCAGUUCAUAAACCACCAAGAUAUCCUCCUAAACCAUCACCUUGUCCACCCCCAUCAUCAACACCAAAACCACCUCAUCAUCCCAAACCCCCAGCAGUACACCCACCACAUGUUCCAAAACCACAUCCACCUUAUGUUCCAAAACCACCAAUUGUUAAACCUCCAAUAGUACAUCCACCUUACGUACCAAAACCCCCAGUUGUGAAACCACCACCAUAUGUCCCUAAACCACCUGUUGUGAGACCACCCUAUGUUCCUAAACCACCAGUUGUACCUGUAACACCACCUUAUGUUCCUAAGCCACCAAUUGUUUUCCCACCACAUGUUCCUCUACCUCCAGUUGUACCAUCACCACCACCUUAUGUACCAACACCUCCAAUUGUGAAACCACCAAUUGUUUUUCCACCACAUGUUCCUCUACCUCCAGUUGUGCCUGUAACACCACCUUAUGUGCAACCACCACCUAUUGUAACUCCACCAACACCAACACCUCCAAUUGUGACACCACCAACACCACCUAGUGAAACACCUUGUCCUCCACCACCACUUGUACCUUAUCCACCACCACCAGCACAACAAACAUGUUCCAUUGAUGCUUUGAAGUUGGGUGCAUGUGUUGAUGUGCUUGGUGGACUCAUACAUAUUGGUAUAGGUGGAAGUG